RNAcentral lists this ribosomal RNA (1395 nucleotides) under Enterococcus durans. RNAcentral describes it as "bacterial SSU rRNA". It matches the Rfam family "Bacterial small subunit ribosomal RNA", at positions 75 to 1452 of the family's 1533-position model. The record is from RNAcentral. Lineage: Bacteria; Bacillati; Bacillota; Bacilli; Lactobacillales; Enterococcaceae.
GGAGCUUGCUCCACCGGAAAAAGAAGAGUGGCGAACGGGUGAGUAACACGUGGGUAACCUGCCCAUCAGAAGGGGAUAACACUUGGAAACAGGUGCUAAUACCGUAUAACAAUCGAAACCGCAUGGUUUUGAUUUGAAAGGCGCUUUCGGGUGUCGCUGAUGGAUGGACCCGCGGUGCAUUAGCUAGUUGGUGAGGUAACGGCUCACCAAGGCCACGAUGCAUAGCCGACCUGAGAGGGUGAUCGGCCACAUUGGGACUGAGACACGGCCCAAACUCCUACGGGAGGCAGCAGUAGGGAAUCUUCGGCAAUGGACGAAAGUCUGACCGAGCAACGCCGCGUGAGUGAAGAAGGUUUUCGGAUCGUAAAACUCUGUUGUUAGAGAAGAACAAGGAUGAGAGUAACUGUUCAUCCCUUGACGGUAUCUAACCAGAAAGCCACGGCUAACUACGUGCCAGCAGCCGCGGUAAUACGUAGGUGGCAAGCGUUGUCCGGAUUUAUUGGGCGUAAAGCGAGCGCAGGCGGUUUCUUAAGUCUGAUGUGAAAGCCCCCGGCUCAACCGGGGAGGGUCAUUGGAAACUGGGAGACUUGAGUGCAGAAGAGGAGAGUGGAAUUCCAUGUGUAGCGGUGAAAUGCGUAGAUAUAUGGAGGAACACCAGUGGCGAAGGCGGCUCUCUGGUCUGUAACUGACGCUGAGGCUCGAAAGCGUGGGGAGCAAACAGGAUUAGAUACCCUGGUAGUCCACGCCGUAAACGAUGAGUGCUAAGUGUUGGAGGGUUUCCGCCCUUCAGUGCUGCAGCUAACGCAUUAAGCACUCCGCCUGGGGAGUACGACCGCAAGGUUGAAACUCAAAGGAAUUGACGGGGGCCCGCACAAGCGGUGGAGCAUGUGGUUUAAUUCGAAGCAACGCGAAGAACCUUACCAGGUCUUGACAUCCUUUGACCACUCUAGAGAUAGAGCUUCCCCUUCGGGGGCAAAGUGACAGGUGGUGCAUGGUUGUCGUCAGCUCGUGUCGUGAGAUGUUGGGUUAAGUCCCGCAACGAGCGCAACCCUUAUUGUUAGUUGCCAUCAUUCAGUUGGGCACUCUAGCAAGACUGCCGGUGACAAACCGGAGGAAGGUGGGGAUGACGUCAAAUCAUCAUGCCCCUUAUGACCUGGGCUACACACGUGCUACAAUGGGAAGUACAACGAGUCGCGAAGUCGCGAGGCUAAGCUAAUCUCUUAAAGCUUCUCUCAGUUCGGAUUGUAGGCUGCAACUCGCCUACAUGAAGCCGGAAUCGCUAGUAAUCGCGGAUCAGCACGCCGCGGUGAAUACGUUCCCGGGCCUUGUACACACCGCCCGUCACACCACGAGAGUUUGUAACACCCGAAGUCGGUGAGGUAACCUUGGAGCCAG